AUUGAACGCUGGCGGCAUGCUUAACGCAUGCAAGUCGAACGGCAGCACAGUCUAGCUUGCUAGAUGGGUGGCGAGUGGCGAACGGGUGAGUAACGCGUAGGAAUAUGCCUUAAAGAGUGGGACAACUUGGGGAAACUCAAGCUAAUACCGCAUAAUAUCUUCGGAUGAAAGCUGGGGACCUUCGGGCCUGGCGCUUUAAGAUUAGCCUGCGUCCGAUUAGCUAGUUGGUAGGGUAAGGGCCUACCAAGGCGACGAUCGGUAGCUGGUCUGAGAGGAUGGCCAGCCACACUGGAACUGAGACACGGUCCAGACUCCUACGGGAGGCAGCAGUGGGGAAUAUUGGACAAUGGGGGCAACCCUGAUCCAGCAAUGCCGCGUGUGUGAAGAAGGCCUGAGGGUUGUAAAGCACUUUCAGUGGGGAGGAGGAUGACUAGGUUAAGAGCUAGGUUAUUGGACGUUACCCACAGAAGAAGCACCGGCUAACUCCGUGCCAGCAGCCGCGGUAAUACGGAGGGUGCAAGCGUUAAUCGGAAUUACUGGGCGUAAAGAGUGCGUAGGUGGUUGAAUAAGUUAUCUGUGAAAUCCCCGGGCUUAACCUGGGCAGGUCAGAUAAUACUGUUUGACUCGAGUAUGGGAGAGGGUAGUGGAAUUUCCGGUGUAGCGGUGAAAUGCGUAGAGAUCGGAAGGAACACCAGUGGCGAAGGCGGCUACCUGGCCUAAUA
Molecule: ribosomal RNA, 722 nt
Filed under: uncultured bacterium
Lineage: Bacteria
Description: bacterial SSU rRNA
Rfam family: Bacterial small subunit ribosomal RNA
Source: RNAcentral